GAUGAACGCUGGCGGCGUGCCUAAUACAUGCAAGUCGAACGAGUUUUGGUCGAUGAACGGUGCUUGCAUCGUGAUUCAACUUAAAACGAGUGGCGGACGGGUGAGUAACACGUGGGUAACCUGCCCUUAAGUGGGGGAUAACAUUUGGAAACAGAUGCUAAUACCGCAUAAAUCCAAGAACCGCAUGGUUCUUGGCUGAAAGAUGGCGUAAGCUAUCGCUUUUGGAUGGACCCGCGGCGUAUUAGCUAGUUGGUGAGGUAACGGCUCACCAAGGCCAUGAUACGUAGCCGAACUGAGAGGUUGAUCGGCCACAUUGGGACUGAGACACGGCCCAAACUCCUACGGGAGGCAGCAGUAGGGAAUCUUCCACAAUGGACGCAAGUCUGAUGGAGCAACGCCGCGUGAGUGAAGAAGGCUUUCGGGUCGUAAAACUCUGUUGUUGGAGAAGAAUGGUCGGCAGAGUAACUGUUGUCGGCGUGACGGUAUCCAACCAGAAAGCCACGGCUAACUACGUGCCAGCAGCCGCGGUAAUACGUAGGUGGCAAGCGUUAUCCGGAUUUAUUGGGCGUAAAGCGAGCGCAGGCGGUUUUUUAAGUCUGAUGUGAAAGCCCUCGGCUUAACCGAGGAAGCGCAUCGGAAACUGGGAAACUUGAGUGCAGAAGAGGACAGUGGAACUCCAUGUGUAGCGGUGAAAUGCGUAGAUAUAUGGAAGAACACCAGUGGCGAAGGCGGCUGUCUGGUCUGUAACUGACGCUGAGGCUCGAAAGCAUGGGUAGCGAACAGG
This 784-nucleotide ribosomal RNA is filed under the name Lacticaseibacillus zeae. RNAcentral's name for it is "bacterial SSU rRNA". It matches the Rfam family "Bacterial small subunit ribosomal RNA", at positions 28 to 776 of the family's 1533-position model. Lineage: Bacteria; Bacillati; Bacillota; Bacilli; Lactobacillales; Lactobacillaceae. The record is from RNAcentral.